CUCAAAAAUGGAGCAAACUAUCAGUCACUAUAGGUGGGUGUGGGUUAAUGAUAACUUUAAUUUUUAGUAUGCCUGGUUGUAGAAGAAGGCCUAGGACGGAUUUAAAAAGAGGCAUGAUCCUGUACGCACUGAGUUGGAAUGUGACAACAGCUCUUCUGAUAUUACUGUUGUAGACAAGAGUACCAACACAGAUACUAUAAUUAUGAUGGAAAAGAGUGCCAUUACUGCUUUGUCAUGUUUAGCGACAUCAGAGAAAGGUACUAGUACAAUUGAGAAUGAUAACGAUGAAUUGUAUUUCAGUGUUUGGAAAGAAUGAAGAUUUUGAUGAAACUUUGUAAAU
This is a long non-coding RNA of Amphimedon queenslandica, 340 nucleotides long. RefSeq lists it as uncharacterized. Lineage: Eukaryota; Metazoa; Porifera; Demospongiae; Haplosclerida; Niphatidae. The transcript has 3 exons. The record is from RefSeq and is a predicted model, not a curated record.